Vicia faba (fava bean) is the source of this 204-nucleotide non-coding RNA. The record is from the annotation of a GenBank genome assembly. Lineage: Eukaryota; Viridiplantae; Streptophyta; Magnoliopsida; Fabales; Fabaceae.
AUGGUCAAGGGUAGACAGGGAGAACGCAUUAGGCUUUAUAUCGAGGGAGUAAACACAAAGGAAGAGGUUGCAUGGUAUGCUGGGAAACGGUUGGCAUACAUUUACAAGGCCAAGUGGGAUAGUCCGUGCAAAGUUCACUUCAAUUUGCCACCAAAAUCAAUGGGAGCUAGGGUUAGAGUAUUCAUGUAUCCAAGCAAUAUAUAA